AGUGAACGCUGGCGGUAGGCCUAACACAUGCAAGUCGAACGGCAGCACAGUAAGAGCUUGCUCUUACGGGUGGCGAGUGGCGGACGGGUGAGGAAUACAUCGGAAUCUACUUUUUCGUGGGGGAUAACGUAGGGAAACUUACGCUAAUACCGCAUACGACCUACGGGUGAAAGCAGGGGAUCUUCGGACCUUGCGCGAUUGAAUGAGCCGAUGUCGGGUUAGCUAGUUGGCGGGGUAAAGGCCCACCAAGGCGACGAUCCGUAGCUGGUCUGAGAGGAUGAUCAGCCACACUGGAGCUGAGACACGGUCCAGACUCCUACGGGAGGCAGCAGUGGGGAAUAUUGGACAAUGGGCGCGAGCCUGAUCCAGCCAUACCGCGUGGGUGAAGAAGGCCUUCGGGUUGUAAAGCCCUUUUGCUGGGAAAGAAAAGCAGCAGGUUAAUACCCCGCUGUUCUGACGGUACCCAAAGAAUAAGCACCGGCUAACUUCGUG
Molecule: ribosomal RNA, 492 nt
Filed under: uncultured bacterium
Lineage: Bacteria
Description: partial 16S ribosomal RNA
Rfam family: Bacterial small subunit ribosomal RNA
Source: RNAcentral